Molecule: ribosomal RNA, 237 nt
Filed under: uncultured bacterium
Lineage: Bacteria
Description: partial 16S ribosomal RNA
Rfam family: Bacterial small subunit ribosomal RNA
Source: RNAcentral
CGCACGGGUGAGUAACACGUAUCCAACCUGCCGUCUACUCUUGGCCAGCCUUCUGAAAGGAAGAUUAAUCCAGGAUGGCAUCAUGAGUUCACAUGUCCGCAUGAUUAAAGGUAUUUUCCGGUAGACGAUGGGGAUGCGUUCCAUUAGAUGGUAGGCGGGGUAACGGCCCACCUAGUCAACGAUGGAUAGGGGUUCUGAGAGGAAGGUCCCCCACAUUGGAACUGAGACACGGUCCAA